RNAcentral lists this ribosomal RNA (484 nucleotides) under uncultured bacterium. Its description in RNAcentral is "partial 16S ribosomal RNA". It matches the Rfam family "Bacterial small subunit ribosomal RNA", at positions 29 to 507 of the family's 1533-position model. The record is from RNAcentral.
AUUGAACGCUGGCGGCAUGCUUUACACAUGCAAGUCGAACGGCAGCGCGGGCUUCGGCCUGGCGGCGAGUGGCGAACGGGUGAGUAAUACGUCGGAACGUGCCCAGUAGUGGGGGAUAGCUCGGCGAAAGCCGGAUUAAAACCGCAUACGACCUGAGGGUGAAAGCGGGGGAUCUUCGGACCUCGCGCUAUUGGAGCGGCCGAUGGCAGAUUAGCUAGUUGGUGGGGUAAAGGCCUACCAAGGCGACGAUCUGUAGCUGGUCUGAGAGGACGACCAGCCACACUGGGACUGAGACACGGCCCAGACUCCUACGGGAGGCAGCAGUGGGGAAUUUUGGACAAUGGGCGAAAGCCUGAUCCAGCAAUGCCGCGUGUGUGAUGAAGGCCUUCGGGUUGUAAAGCACUUUUGGCGGGAACGAAAAGGACUGUGCCAAUACCACGGUUCGAUGACGGUACCCGCAGAAUAAGCACCGGCUAACUACGUG